This 2902-nucleotide ribosomal RNA is filed under the name Klebsiella pneumoniae. RNAcentral describes it as "23S ribosomal RNA". It matches the Rfam family "Bacterial large subunit ribosomal RNA". Lineage: Bacteria; Pseudomonadati; Pseudomonadota; Gammaproteobacteria; Enterobacterales; Enterobacteriaceae. The record is from RNAcentral.
GGUUAAGCGACUAAGCGUACACGGUGGAUGCCCUGGCAGUCAGAGGCGAUGAAGGACGUGCUAAUCUGCGAAAAGCGUCGGUAAGGUGAUAUGAACCGUUAUAACCGGCGAUGUCCGAAUGGGGAAACCCAGUGUGAUUCGUCACACUAUCGUUAACUGAAUACAUAGGUUAACGAGGCGAACCGGGGGAACUGAAACAUCUAAGUACCCCGAGGAAAAGAAAUCAACCGAGAUUCCCCCAGUAGCGGCGAGCGAACGGGGAGCAGCCCAGAGUCUGAAUCAGCUUGUGUGUUAGUGGAACGGUCUGGAAAGUCCGACGGUACAGGGUGAUAGUCCCGUACACCAAAAUGCACAGGCUGUGAACUCGAAGAGUAGGGCGGGACACGUGGUAUCCUGUCUGAAUAUGGGGGGACCAUCCUCCAAGGCUAAAUACUCCUGACUGACCGAUAGUGAACCAGUACCGUGAGGGAAAGGCGAAAAGAACCCCGGCGAGGGGAGUGAAAAAGAACCUGAAACCGUGUACGUACAAGCAGUGGGAGCACCUUCGGGUGUGACUGCGUACCUUUUGUAUAAUGGGUCAGCGACUUAUAUUCUGUAGCAAGGUUAACCGUAUAGGGGAGCCGCAGGGAAACCGAGUCUUAACUGGGCGUUAAGUUGCAGGGUAUAGACCCGAAACCCGGUGAUCUAGCCAUGGGCAGGUUGAAGGUUGGGUAACACUAACUGGAGGACCGAACCGACUAAUGUUGAAAAAUUAGCGGAUGACUUGUGGCUGGGGGUGAAAGGCCAAUCAAACCGGGAGAUAGCUGGUUCUCCCCGAAAGCUAUUUAGGUAGCGCCUCGUGAACUCAUCUUCGGGGGUAGAGCACUGUUUCGGCUAGGGGGUCAUCCCGACUUACCAACCCGAUGCAAACUACGAAUACCGAAGAAUGUUAUCACGGGAGACACACGGCGGGUGCUAACGUCCGUCGUGAAGAGGGAAACAACCCAGACCGCCAGCUAAGGUCCCAAAGUCAUGGUUAAGUGGGAAACGAUGUGGGAAGGCACAGACAGCCAGGAUGUUGGCUUAGAAGCAGCCAUCAUUUAAAGAAAGCGUAAUAGCUCACUGGUCGAGUCGGCCUGCGCGGAAGAUGUAACGGGGCUAAACCAUGCACCGAAGCUGCGGCAGCGACACUAUGUGUUGUUGGGUAGGGGAGCGUUCUGUAAGCCUGCGAAGGUGUGCUGUGAGGCAUGCUGGAGGUAUCAGAAGUGCGAAUGCUGACAUAAGUAACGAUAAAGCGGGUGAAAAGCCCGCUCGCCGGAAGACCAAGGGUUCCUGUCCAACGUUAAUCGGGGCAGGGUGAGUCGACCCCUAAGGCGAGGCCGAAAGGCGUAGUCGAUGGGAAACAGGUUAAUAUUCCUGUACUUGGUGUUACUGCGAAGGGGGGACGGAGAAGGCUAUGUUAGCCGGGCGACGGUUGUCCCGGUUUAAGCAUGUAGGCUGGUUGUCCAGGCAAAUCCGGAUAAUCAAGGCUGAGGUGUGAUGACGAGGCACUACGGUGCUGAAGUAACAAAUGCCCUGCUUCCAGGAAAAGCCUCUAAGCAUCAGGUAACAUCAAAUCGUACCCCAAACCGACACAGGUGGUCAGGUAGAGAAUACCAAGGCGCUUGAGAGAACUCGGGUGAAGGAACUAGGCAAAAUGGUGCCGUAACUUCGGGAGAAGGCACGCUGGUGUGUAGGUGAAGUCCCUGCGGAUGGAGCUGAGACCAGUCGAAGAUACCAGCUGGCUGCAACUGUUUAUUAAAAACACAGCACUGUGCAAACACGAAAGUGGACGUAUACGGUGUGACGCCUGCCCGGUGCCGGAAGGUUAAUUGAUGGGGUUAUCCGUAAGGAGAAGCUCUUGAUCGAAGCCCCGGUAAACGGCGGCCGUAACUAUAACGGUCCUAAGGUAGCGAAAUUCCUUGUCGGGUAAGUUCCGACCUGCACGAAUGGCGUAAUGAUGGCCAGGCUGUCUCCACCCGAGACUCAGUGAAAUUGAACUCGCUGUGAAGAUGCAGUGUACCCGCGGCAAGACGGAAAGACCCCGUGAACCUUUACUAUAGCUUGACACUGAACAUUGAGCCUUGAUGUGUAGGAUAGGUGGGAGGCUUUGAAGCGUGGACGCCAGUCUGCGUGGAGCCAACCUUGAAAUACCACCCUUUAAUGUUUGAUGUUCUAACGUUGGCCCCUGACCGGGGUUGCGGACAGUGUCUGGUGGGUAGUUUGACUGGGGCGGUCUCCUCCCAAAGCGUAACGGAGGAGCACGAAGGUUAGCUAAUCCUGGUCGGACAUCAGGAGGUUAGUGCAAUGGCAUAAGCUAGCUUGACUGCGAGCGUGACGGCGCGAGCAGGUGCGAAAGCAGGUCAUAGUGAUCCGGUGGUUCUGAAUGGAAGGGCCAUCGCUCAACGGAUAAAAGGUACUCCGGGGAUAACAGGCUGAUACCGCCCAAGAGUUCAUAUCGACGGCGGUGUUUGGCACCUCGAUGUCGGCUCAUCACAUCCUGGGGCUGAAGUAGGUCCCAAGGGUAUGGCUGUUCGCCAUUUAAAGUGGUACGCGAGCUGGGUUUAGAACGUCGUGAGACAGUUCGGUCCCUAUCUGCCGUGGGCGCUGGAGAAUUGAGGGGGGCUGCUCCUAGUACGAGAGGACCGGAGUGGACGCAUCACUGGUGUUCGGGUUGUCAUGCCAAUGGCACUGCCCGGUAGCUAAAUGCGGAAGAGAUAAGUGCUGAAAGCAUCUAAGCACGAAACUUGCCCCGAGAUGAGUUCUCCCUGAGACUUUAAGUCUCCUGAAGGAACGUUAAAGACGAUGACGUUGAUAGGCCGGGUGUGUAAGCGCAGCGAUGCGUUGAGCUAACCGGUACUAAUGAACCGUGAGGCUUAACCUU